Molecule: long non-coding RNA, 290 nt
Filed under: Medicago truncatula (barrel medic)
Lineage: Eukaryota; Viridiplantae; Streptophyta; Magnoliopsida; Fabales; Fabaceae
Description: lncRNA gene17204
Source: RNAcentral
CUUACUUGAUUAACUUACAUUUACAACCAUGCUGGAUUCUUUAGAGGUGUAACCACAGCCUUAACUUGCAAGUAAUUAUGAAGACUAUAUAUACCUUUCUCCCUUCCUACCCCACUCAUCUUGUACCCACCAAAUGGAAUUGCAGCAUCAAACACAUCAAAGCAAUUAAUCCACACUGUUCCUGCCUUUAAUCCUCUCAUCAAAGUAUUUGCAGUGUCCAAAUUAUUUGUGAACACUCCUGCAGCAAGACCAUAACGUGUAUUAUUUGCCCUUCUUAUGACUUCAUCAGU